UGCAAGUCGAGCGGUAACAGAGAGAAGCUUGCUUCUUUGCUGACAAGCGGCGGACGGGUGAGUAACGCGUAGGAAUCUACCUAAUAGUGGGGGAUAGCCCAGGGAAACUUGGAUUAAUACCGCAUACGCCCUACGGGGGAAAGCGGGGGAUCUUCGGACCUCGUGCUAUUAGAUGAGCCUGCGUAAGAUUAGCUUGUUGGUGAGGUAAGAGCUCACCAAGGCGACGAUCUUUAGCUGUUCUGAGAGGAUGAUCAGCCACACUGGGACUGAGACACGGCCCAGACUCCUACGGGAGGCAGCAGUGGGGAAUAUUGGACAAUGGGGGCAACCCUGAUCCAGCAGCCGCGGUAAUACG
Molecule: ribosomal RNA, 355 nt
Filed under: uncultured bacterium
Lineage: Bacteria
Description: bacterial SSU rRNA
Rfam family: Bacterial small subunit ribosomal RNA
Source: RNAcentral